RNAcentral lists this ribosomal RNA (375 nucleotides) under Triticum aestivum (bread wheat). Its description in RNAcentral is "partial small subunit ribosomal RNA". Lineage: Eukaryota; Viridiplantae; Streptophyta; Magnoliopsida; Poales; Poaceae. The record is from RNAcentral.
AUGCGGCAUAACCUUGUCAUGUGGAUGCUCGGUACAUCGUCGGAGAUCAGAAGGAAACAUCAGAAACGGCCAGUCGCGAGAUGGCAACAAGCAAGGUACGGCCGGCCGGCGGCAGCGGCGUUCACCAGCCGUUGGGCAGCAAGGCUAGCGCGUGCAUCGCCAUCCAUCCCGAGAAGACCAACAUAUAUCCAUGGAUGGAUCGGGGCGCCAGCCCGGAGACAUGAACUAGACAGAUCCAAGGGAAAACCAGUGAGAAGUUAUGGUAAUGAAGAGAGGGGGAAAACAAGAAACCAAGAUGUGCAGCAUACCUCGGUGCACCAUUAUCGGAGAUCAGGAGGAAACAUCUGCCGGGCGGCCGGCCGUGUCACCAGGUGA